RNAcentral lists this ribosomal RNA (497 nucleotides) under uncultured bacterium. RNAcentral's name for it is "partial 16S ribosomal RNA". It matches the Rfam family "Bacterial small subunit ribosomal RNA", at positions 28 to 507 of the family's 1533-position model. The record is from RNAcentral.
GAUGAACGCUGGCGGCGUGCCUAAUACAUGCAAGUCGAGCGAACGGACGAGAAGCUUGCUUCUCUGAGGUUAGCGGCGGACGGGUGAGUAACACGUGGAUAACCUACCUAUAAGACUGGGAUAACUUCGGGAAACCGGAGCUAAUACCGGAUAAUAUUUUGAACCGCAUGGUUCAUAAGUGAAAGACGGUCUUGCUGUCACUUAUAGAUGGAUCCGCGCUGCAUUAGCUAGUUGGUAAGGUAACGGCUUACCAAGGCAACGAUGCAUAGCCGACUUGAGAGGUGGUUCGGCCACACGGGACCUGGGCCACGGCCCAGACUCCUACGGGAGGCAGCAGUAGGGAAUCUUCCGCAAUGGGCGAAAGCCUGACGGAGCAACGCCGCGUGAGUGAUGAAGGUCUUCGGAUCGUAAAACUCUGUUAUUAGGGAAGAACAUAUGUGUAAGUAACUGUGCACAUCUUGACGGUACCUAAUCAGAAAGCCACGGCUAACUACGUG